RNAcentral lists this ribosomal RNA (497 nucleotides) under uncultured bacterium. RNAcentral's name for it is "partial 16S ribosomal RNA". It matches the Rfam family "Bacterial small subunit ribosomal RNA", at positions 28 to 507 of the family's 1533-position model. The record is from RNAcentral.
GACGAACGCUGGCGGCGUGCCUAAUACAUGCAAGUUGAGCGAUGAAGCUUGGUGCUUGCCCCAAUUUGAAGAGCAGCGAACGGGUGAGUAACGCGUGGGGAAUCUGCCUUUGAGCGGGGGACAACAUUUGGAAACGAAUGCUAAUACCGCAUAAUAACUUUAAACAUAAGUUUUAAGUUUGAAAGAUGCAAUUGCAUCACUCAAAGAUGAUCCCGCGUUGUAUUAGCUAGUUGGUGAGGUAAAGGCUCACCAAGGCGAUGAUACAUAGCCGACCUGAGAGGGUGAUCGGCCACAUUGGGACUGAGACACGGCCCAAACUCCUACGGGAGGCAGCGGUAGGGAAUCUUCGGCAAGGGACGAAAGUCUGACCGAGCAACGCCGCGUGAGUGAAGAAGGGUUUCGGAUCGUAAAACUCUGUUGGUAGAGAAGAACGUUGGUGAGAGUGGAAAGCUCAUCAAGUGACGGUAACUACCCAGAAAGGGACGGCUAACUACGUG